This 466-nucleotide ribosomal RNA is filed under the name uncultured bacterium. Its description in RNAcentral is "partial 16S ribosomal RNA". It matches the Rfam family "Bacterial small subunit ribosomal RNA", at positions 339 to 795 of the family's 1533-position model. The record is from RNAcentral.
CUACGGGGCGCACCAGUGGGGAAUAUUGGACAAUGGGGGGAAACCCUGAUCCAGCAAUGCCGCGUGUGUGAAGAAGGCCUGCGGGUUGUAAAGCACUUUCGGUUGGGAGGACUGCUUCUAGCACUAAUAUUGUUGGAAGUUGACGUUACCUUCAGAAGAAGCACCGGCUAACUCCGUGCCAGCAGCCGCGGUAAUACGGAGGGUGCAAGCGUUAAUCGGAAUUACUGGGCGUAAAGCGCGCGUAGGCGGCUAGAUCAGUCGGGUGUGAAAGCCCCGGGCUUAACCUGGGAACUGCAUCCGAUACUGUCUAGCUUGAGUACAGGAGAGGAGAGUGGAAUUCCACAUGUAGCGGUGAAAUGCGUAGAUAUGUGGAGGAGCACCAAUGGCGAAGGCAGCUCUCUGGCCUAAUACUGACGCUGAGGUGCGAAAGCGUGGGGAGCAAUCAGGAUUAGAUACCCUAGUAGUC